CUCAGUUAGCUUUCCUCUACCCCUCCGAGUAGGAGAAGCAUUACUUCUCUCAACCGGUUUGUGGGUUUACCUCCCCACCACUGGGUUGGGAUUUUAGAUAUUGUUUUGGUUCUAGCAGUGCAACGGAAAUUUAUUGGUUCAAGAAUCUUGAAGGGCUGCCUUGUUCUACUUUGUUUUAUCUUCUUUUCUUGAUUGUGUGUGUUGCUGUUGCAGGAGACUAGUUUUCGUCAGAGAUUGGUUACUAGUUAUCUCGGGGACAUUUCAGCGCCCACUAAUGGCUUUCCUAGUUCCUAAAAGGCUGUAAGAGACUGAGAGUGCUAGAGCUCUGCCACGUUUCUCAGUUUCAUCCAACUGAUUCCAUGGUUGCUGGUGUUCUUUUUGUUGUUGUUAUGGGUUCUUUUAGUUUGCUCGACGCCUUGUGGUUGAUGUAUUAUUGGGGUUCUUCUUUUGUGGUGAUACGACCAUGCAUAAUCCCCUUGCGCUUCAUCCGGUGGUCAGCGUCUGUAUUGAGAUGGCUUCUUCCUGAGGUUCUAUUAGGACUUAGCGGCGGAGUUCUGUUUCAACAACUGGAUCCCUCUCUCGAAUUGUGUCCCAACUAAGGUUUUUUUUAGGGUUGGGCCUUAGGUCUUUUAAGUGCUAAGUUGGGCUAUCUUUAGGACUUAACCUUCAAACCAUGAUUUCUUCUCGUUGUGGUUUUCUAUUUGUGAG
This 708-nucleotide unclassified non-coding RNA is filed under the name Hevea brasiliensis (rubber tree). The record is from RNAcentral. Lineage: Eukaryota; Viridiplantae; Streptophyta; Magnoliopsida; Malpighiales; Euphorbiaceae.